Long non-coding RNA from Cryptotermes secundus, 1090 nucleotides. RefSeq lists it as uncharacterized. The transcript has 3 exons. Lineage: Eukaryota; Metazoa; Arthropoda; Insecta; Blattodea; Kalotermitidae. The record is from RefSeq and is a predicted model, not a curated record.
GGAGUCGGUCGUGAAUGCUGGACUUGAAAUGGUGGUUACGUGAGAGAUGUUUACAUAUUUUUAAUAUGCCAGUCAGUCAACAGUCUUCUCAUCCAGCCAGGGUCGAAAUAUUGGCAAUGUUGAUGGAUAGUGCGUGCCUUGCUUGCGGCGUAGGGUGCCAUCUGGUGAGCGCAGGGGAAUUGUGUGCUGAUGAGUUGUGAUCUUGAAGACCUCGCAGCUCACCCAGGUGUCCAUUUGAGGAGCACUGCUGUACAUUCUGCUGGAUGUUGUGCCAUGUUGUGGCUGUGUCACAUUAAGGCACUGAAGGAGUGCCAACAUAACAACAAAUUCUGGUUAGUGUUUGGAUGGGUGGCAACUUAAGAUCACCACAUGUCAUUUGCAGUAACCAGGUCUGCACAGGUCCUUGGCACCUAAAAUUAUGAUGGUGCUUGGAAGUUUCUUCCUUUUAUGUUACUUUUAUCCUACUAUUAGCUACUACUAUCAUAUAAGCUGUCAAAGAUGACACACAAAAUAACGUGUUUCUUUUAUUGUGUUGUCAUUUUGUUCCCUAUAUCCUAGCAACCACUCACUGGGUUCUCCCUCAGGAGGGCUGGAACCUGCCAGUGUUUAUAUGCAGGUGUUCUAAUUGCCCCUUUGUUAAUGAUAGCAACUUGGGGUAUUUUCCUCCUAGUUUUUAGAUGUGGUAUCCUAGAUUUAUGGGAGGUUCUGCAGUCCUGGCAGUAACAUUACUAUGGUCAUUCGAGAUUUUCAUGUUUCGUGGUUACGUUUACAUUGUUGUGACAAAUCGUAGUUCACAGUGGUUAGCUCUGAUCUCUACUGAUCUCGUUUUGUGACGGUCUGGUGUAUUCUGCAAGUAUCUCCAAAAUUCUGCUAAUCUUUAUCACUUCAUAAAGUUUUAAUAUCAAACAAUUCUGCAAUGAGUAACAUGUGCAGUGCUGGGCGUAUAUAAAUAAGGUCUCUUUCUCAGUGGAUCACUCGUUAAACAAAUAUUGAUAGAUACUGUUCAUUAUCUGGGGCUUCAUUAAUACAUAUGCAAUGGCAGGGUCCAGUGGUCAAGACUAGGUCUUUCUGAUGGGCCCUGCUUAAGGAU